GAUGAACGCUGGCUACAGGCUUAACACAUGCAAGUCGAGGGGAAACGACGGGGAAGCUUGCUUCCUCGGGCGUCGACCGGCGCACGGGUGAGUAACGCGUAUCCAACCUGCCUCUGACUGAGGGAUAACCCGUCGAAAGUCGGCCUAAUACCUCAUGGCAUCGUCUGCGGGCAUCCAACGACGAUUAAAGAUUUCAUCGGUCAGGGAUGGGGAUGCGUCUGAUUAGCUGGUUGGCGGGGUAACGGCCCACCAAGGCGACGAUCAGUAGGGGUUCUGAGAGGAAGGUCCCCCACAUUGGAACUGAGACACGGUCCAAACUCCUACGGGAGGCAGCAGUGAGGAAUAUUGGUCAAUGGGCGAGAGCCUGAACCAGCCAAGUAGCGUGCAGGAUGACGGCCCUAUGGGUUGUAAACUGCUUUUAUGCGGGGAUAAAGUGAGGGACGUGUCCUUCAUUGCAGGUACCGCAUGAAUAAGGACCGGCUAAUUCCGUGCCAGCAGCCGCGGUAAUACGGAAGGUCCGGGCGUUAUCCGGAUUUAUUGGGUUUAAAGGGAGCGUAGGCCGUGGAUUAAGCGUGUUGUGAAAUGCAGGUGCUCAACGUCUGCACUGCAGCGCGAACUGGCCCACUUGAGUGUGCACAACGCAGGCGGAAUUCGUCGUGUAGCGGUGAAAUGCUUAGAUAUGACGAAGAACUCCGAUUGCGAAGGCAGCUUGCGGGAGCACAACUGACGCUGAAGCUCGAAAGUGCGGGUAUCGAACAGG
This 760-nucleotide ribosomal RNA is filed under the name uncultured Prevotella sp. Its description in RNAcentral is "bacterial SSU rRNA". It matches the Rfam family "Bacterial small subunit ribosomal RNA", at positions 28 to 776 of the family's 1533-position model. Lineage: Bacteria; Pseudomonadati; Bacteroidota; Bacteroidia; Bacteroidales; Prevotellaceae. The record is from RNAcentral.